This is an RNA transcript of Neopsephotus bourkii (Bourke's parrot), 3573 nucleotides long. It is a transcript of the gene named CD47 molecule, with no coding region annotated. The transcript is spliced from 12 exons. Lineage: Eukaryota; Metazoa; Chordata; Aves; Psittaciformes; Psittacidae. The record is from RefSeq and is a predicted model, not a curated record.
CGGCGACCAGCUCCGGAGGCCGAGGGGCUGCCUGGCCGCGCCGCCGCUCCGCCAUGUGGCUGCUGCCUGCUUGGGUGCUGCUCAGCGCCGUGGGCGCCGGUUCUGCCCAGUUGAUAUUUAGUGGGACAGAUGUUGUUGAAAGAACUGACUGUAAUAAAACUGUCAUUUUACCUUGCUAUGUGACUAAUCUGAAGGAGAACAACACAAAUGUCAUGUUUGUGACGUGGAAAAAACAAGGAAAUAUCAUUUUUUCUUUUGAUGGAAGAAAACAGGAGUUUUUCAGAGAUCCCGAGUUUCGAUCAGCUGACUUAGUAUCUCAGGUGGAUUUACCCAAAGGUAUUGCCUCUCUGAUGCUUAGCGGUGCAGAAGCAGCUGUUGGAAAUUACAGCUGUGAAGUAACAGAAUCAAACAGAGAAGGAGAAACGAGAAUUGAACUUAGAAACCACUCAGUUGUCAGUUGCGGCGAGGAAAAUACCCCAGCAUCAAAGGAGAUACGUGGAUCAUGGUUUCUUCUAAUGGAAAGGGCUAUCAUCAUAACGUUACUGUUCUUAGUUAUUGCUUUGUGUGCGGCUCAGUUAAGUGCUAUUGUAUUAAAAUAUGAAACUGUACCUCAGAAGAAAACAGGCAUUAUCGGAGCCAUUGCUGCCCUCAUAGUUGCUGCUGUUGUAGGCACUGUUCUUUUUGUCCAAGAUGGCUAUACUGCACAGAAUCAAGCUGGCCUCGGUCUGAUUGUAGUCCCUGCUGUGAUUUUGGUACCGCUUCAAUAUGUUAUGUUUGGAAUCGUCUUUGAUAGCCUACCGCAAGCAGCAUUUGCUCUGAUAGGUUUGCACAUUCUUGGUUAUGUCAUUGCUGUGGUUGGUUUUGCACUGUGUGUCUCAGCCUGUCCUCCAUUACAUGGGUCUGUUGUGAUUGCUGGCUUAGCUAUUAUGGCCAUUGCAAAUUUGCUUAGUCUGGCUUACGUGUUUAUUAUGGGUUCCAGAAUGAAAGAUCAUCCUCGUCCAGGGAAUCACUACUUACUGUAUAUGUCUAUUAGAGUAAUUUAACUGUGGCGAGCCAGAAGUAAACAUGAAGGCUUUUUAUACAUAUAUAUAUUUUUAAAUGUUUUGCAGAAAGCUGUAGAAGAACCACUAAAUGAUGCAAAAGGAGUGAUGUUAGAAUGAUGAACUGCAGAGCAAUGUGAUACGUGAAAAGUACACCGUUGUUGAUACACCGUGGCCUUGAAGAUGCACUACUCAACGAGAAGAAAUUCAGGAAACUAGUUGUUUUGCAUGUGUGGCAAAAGUGCUUUUGAUAUAAAUGAGGUCAUUUUCUAGUCACAGCAGCUGUAGCAAGGACCAUGUGUGUUUGCCCACAUGUGAUCUUUCUUUCUUUUGUUACGGUAUAUGUGGGAUGUUUGAGGGUGAGCAUAUGAAAAGCACUGUUUGCCCACUGCAGGGUCUCCCUGCAGGAAUCCUUAGUGGUAUUAUUUUCAGAAGCUAUCAUUAGUCACUGCUUCGAUAACGGGCCUGCUCGGCCCACAGAUUGCAAUACCAUUUAGACUAUUGUUUUCUUUAUUUGUGUGCAUGGGCAAGGUAUGGUCAUACGUCUAUGAUACAAGCAGGAAAUCAAGACUGUACAAAGACAUCUUUCUCUGACAUUCAGCAAAACUUUUCUAUAAAAAGAAUAAAUAAAAUGCUUAUACACAAAGUUCCAUCAGUACAAAGUUUACUCCCAGCUCUCCUUAAGUCAGUAACUGGGUUCUCCUGGUUCCACGAAACAGUAGUGUUCCUCUCUAUGGACAGUAGUCAUGUGUGCUCUGGUGGCCAAUAUUUUAGUCCAGUGAGAGAGUUCUCUGUGCCUCUUCUGUAUUCUUUGAUGAGAAACUGCUCAGCUGUUGGAGCCUAAUUCAGCACUGGAAUUAUGGAGCACAGCAGCUAGUAAUUUUCAUGCUGAAUGUGGUUCUUGUGUGUGUUCAUGUCGUGUGGUGUGUGGUACUGGAAGCAACUUCAGGCUUUCUUAACUCAGUGAAUUUGUAAAAGUCAUGGAUGCUUCAUAAAAAUAGGAGUUGUCCUAUUUAGUGUACAUUGGACAGAGUUUUAAAACCUUGUUUUGGAAACAAGGAGCUAUUCCAUUUCUGACCCAAGUUUGUGAUGCUGCCGUUACAUCACAAAUAGAUAAAAUAGAAAGUAAGUAGGAGGAGCUGAUGAGAAGCGAGGAGGCUCAGUUUCUGUAUAUAUGUAAGUGGUACAGUUAAAAACCAAUUUUUUUCUAGGACUUGCACAUUCCAUGAGAUUUUACCACGUUUUAUAACUGUUUUGAGAGUUGUUCCAAUGCAGUUGGCUUCUCUUGGGCUUCAUGUAUACUUCGUAGAAAUCUUGAUGCUGUCUCCUUUUCAUCCUAAGGGAAUGCCUUUCAAAGGCACCACGUUUUUCUCCUCCUAGCAAUUAAAAACUUGGUUUGGAAAGCUCUUACCAAACAGUCAUGUGAAAAAAUAAUAAAUCCAUGUCUUUAAAGAUUUUUGAGUAAUUUGGCACAUCUGGAUGUGCAUGUUACGAGCUAAGGUUCAUAUCCAUGUUUGGGUGCAUGUUGCAGGGAUUCUGGUCUCUGCAUAUUGAGCUCCAAUCUUGGUGCAGUCACCUUGCAUCAAGAGAAUGAAAUUGAGGUAUCUGAUUGUACAACACUGACUCUUAUGAACAGCCCUCUUGCUAGGGCUGCAGGGGUGAACAGCUUAAAGCAGCCCACGGUCCAGCCCUUGCUCAGAUCAGUGGAACUGGCCACAGUGAAGAGGGUUAUUAGUGUGAUAAAAAGUUAAGAAGCGUGUACGAUUUACACUUUGCUUUCAUACCUUCAGUCUGUCAGUGGGAGUAUUCAUCUGAUAUCUGAGCUCCUAUGUAUGAAUCUUGAUACAGACUUUUCCGUAAUCCCAGCAAUCACUACCUAAAGAAAGGGAGAUUACUCUCCAUUAACAAUUCAGUGUAAGAAUUGACCUGAUUAAGUACCAUGCAGAGCUCCCUCUUUAUAACUAGUGAUUUCCUCUGGCAAGCUGAAAGUUGAGCAGUUGAGGAAUAAAAACCAAACCAACUGGAAUUGUGUUGUGGUAUUCUGCCUUAUCAAAACCAUUAUGUAUAAUAGCUUUAUGUUAACUUCUGUAAAGCAGACUGCAGUAGAACCUGUUUGUGUCAUGGUGGGAUGAGGCCGAGCUGUUACUAAGCACUGCUGAAACAAGAGGAGCUUGAUGGCUGUGAACAGGCUGCAGGAGCAAUUGCCCCACAAAUGGGGGAAACUCACUAUCCUGUUGUUGUGUUAAGGGCUCUGCUCUGGAUUUCACGUGGGUACAGAUGUACAAGGGAGCGUUUAAAAAGUCACUGAUAACACCCAGCCUUUUCCCACCAGUAUUUUCAGACCAAAGUUGUUCAUAACUGUAUGCUUCCAUUCGUGAGUGUACGUAUGUGUGUAUGUAUAAAUAUAUAGACAUUUUAAAUAUCUAUAGCUCUAUAGUCUUUACCCAAGAAAAUGUUUUUAUUUAUGAAUCAUGAAACAAUUUUGUAAAUAUUGUGCUAAUAUACUUAAAAAAUAAAGUCAUUUUAAGUUGUU